GACGAACGCUGGCGGCGCGCCUAACACAUGCAAGUCGAACGAGCAAAGAGGAGCUUGCUUCUCUGAGCGAGUGGCGAACGGGUGAGUAACGCGUGAGGAACCUGCCUCAAAGAGGGGGACAACAGUUGGAAACGACUGCUAAUACCGCAUAAGCCCACGGGUCGGCAUCGACCAGAGGGAAAAGGAGUAAUCCGCUUUGAGAUGGCCUCGCGUCCGAUUAGCUAGUUGGUGAGGUAAUGGCCCACCAAGGCGACGAUCGGUAGCCGGACUGAGAGGUUGAACGGCCACAUUGGGACUGAGACACGGCCCAGACUCCUACGGGAGGCAGCAGUGGGGAAUAUUGCACAAUGGGGGGAAACUCUGAUGCAGCGACGCCGCGUGAGUGAUGAAGUAUUUCGGUAUGUAAAACUCUAUCAGCAGGGAAGAUAAUGACGGUACCUGACUAAGAAGCACCGGCUAAAUACGUG
Molecule: ribosomal RNA, 467 nt
Filed under: uncultured bacterium
Lineage: Bacteria
Description: bacterial SSU rRNA
Rfam family: Bacterial small subunit ribosomal RNA
Source: RNAcentral